This 30-nucleotide non-coding RNA is filed under the name Mus musculus (house mouse). Lineage: Eukaryota; Metazoa; Chordata; Mammalia; Rodentia; Muridae. RNAcentral also lists the same sequence under 1 other name. The record is from RNAcentral.
UUCAUCAGUCUUGAAGAAGAUGGAAAUACU